GGGUUGUGAGGUUAAGCGACUAAGCGUACACGGUGGAUGCCCUGGCAGUCAGAGGCGAUGAAGGACGUGCUAAUCUGCGAUAAGCGUCGGUAAGGUGAUAUGAACCGUUAUAACCGGCGAUUUCCGAAUGGGGAAACCCAGUGUGAUUCGUCACACUAUCAUUAACUGAAUCCAUAGGUUAAUGAGGCGAACCGGGGGAACUGAAACAUCUAAGUACCCCGAGGAAAAGAAAUCAACCGAGAUUCCCCCAGUAGCGGCGAGCGAACGGGGAGCAGCCCAGAGCCUGAAUCAGUGUGUGUGUUAGUGGAAGCGUCUGGAAAGGCGUGCGAUACAGGGUGACAGCCCCGUACACAAAAAUGCACAUAUUGUGAGCUCGAUGAGUAGGGCGGGACACGUGGUAUCCUGUCUGAAUAUGGGGGGACCAUCCUCCAAGGCUAAAUACUCCUGACUGACCGAUAGUGAACCAGUACCGUGAGGGAAAGGCGAAAAGAACCCCGGCGAGGGGAGUGAAAAAGAACCUGAAACCGUGUACGUACAAGCAGUGGGAGCACAGAGCAAUCUGUGUGACUGCGUACCUUUUGUAUAAUGGGUCAGCGACUUAUAUUCUGUAGCAAGGUUAACCGAAUAGGGGAGCCGAAGGGAAACCGAGUCUUAACUGGGCGUUAAGUUGCAGGGUAUAGACCCGAAACCCGGUGAUCUAGCCAUGGGCAGGUUGAAGGUUGGGUAACACUAACUGGAGGACCGAACCGACUAAUGUUGAAAAAUUAGCGGAUGACUUGUGGCUGGGGGUGAAAGGCCAAUCAAACCGGGAGAUAGCUGGUUCUCCCCGAAAGCUAUUUAGGUAGCGCCUCGUGAAUUCAUCUCCGGGGGUAGAGCACUGUUUCGGCAAGGGGGUCAUCCCGACUUACCAACCCGAUGCAAACUGCGAAUACCGGAGAAUGUUAUCACGGGAGACACACGGCGGGUGCUAACGUCCGUCGUGAAGAGGGAAACAACCCAGACCGCCAGCUAAGGUCCCAAAGUCAUGGUUAAGUGGGAAACGAUGUGGGAAGGCCCAGACAGCCAGGAUGUUGGCUUAGAAGCAGCCAUCAUUUAAAGAAAGCGUAAUAGCUCACUGGUCGAGUCGGCCUGCGCGGAAGAUGUAACGGGGCUAAACCAUGCACCGAAGCUGCGGCAGCGACACUAUGUGUUGUUGGGUAGGGGAGCGUUCUGUAAGCCUGUGAAGGUGUACUGUGAGGUAUGCUGGAGGUAUCAGAAGUGCGAAUGCUGACAUAAGUAACGAUAAAGCGGGUGAAAAGCCCGCUCGCCGGAAGACCAAGGGUUCCUGUCCAACGUUAAUCGGGGCAGGGUGAGUCGACCCCUAAGGCGAGGCCGAAAGGCGUAGUCGAUGGGAAACAGGUUAAUAUUCCUGUACUUGGUGUUACUGCGAAGGGGGGACGGAGAAGGCUAUGUUGGCCGGGCGACGGUUGUCCCGGUUUAAGCGUGUAGGCUGGUUUUCCAGGCAAAUCCGGAAAAUCAAGGCUGAGGCGUGAUGACGAGGCACUACGGUGCUGAAGCAACAAAUGCCCUGCUUCCAGGAAAAGCCUCUAAGCAUCAGGUAACAUCAAAUCGUACCCCAAACCGACACAGGUGGUCAGGUAGAGAAUACCAAGGCGCUUGAGAGAACUCGGGUGAAGGAACUAGGCAAAAUGGUGCCGUAACUUCGGGAGAAGGCACGCUGAUAUGUAGGUGAAGUCCCUCGCGGAUGGAGCUGAAAUCAGUCGAAGAUACCAGCUGGCUGCAACUGUUUAUUAAAAACACAGCACUGUGCAAACACGAAAGUGGACGUAUACGGUGUGACGCCUGCCCGGUGCCGGAAGGUUAAUUGAUGGGGUCAGCGCAAGCGAAGCUCUUGAUCGAAGCCCCGGUAAACGGCGGCCGUAACUAUAACGGUCCUAAGGUAGCGAAAUUCCUUGUCGGGUAAGUUCCGACCUGCACGAAUGGCGUAAUGAUGGCCAGGCUGUCUCCACCCGAGACUCAGUGAAAUUGAACUCGCUGUGAAGAUGCAGUGUACCCGCGGCAAGACGGAAAGACCCCGUGAACCUUUACUAUAGCUUGACACUGAACAUUGAGCCUUGAUGUGUAGGAUAGGUGGGAGGCUUUGAAGUGUGGACGCCAGUCUGCAUGGAGCCGACCUUGAAAUACCACCCUUUAAUGUUUGAUGUUCUAACGUUGACCCGUGAUCCGGGUUGCGGACAGUGUCUGGUGGGUAGUUUGACUGGGGCGGUCUCCUCCUAAAGAGUAACGGAGGAGCACGAAGGUUGGCUAAUCCUGGUCGGACAUCAGGAGGUUAGUGCAAUGGCAUAAGCCAGCUUGACUGCGAGCGUGACGGCGCGAGCAGGUGCGAAAGCAGGUCAUAGUGAUCCGGUGGUUCUGAAUGGAAGGGCCAUCGCUCAACGGAUAAAAGGUACUCCGGGGAUAACAGGCUGAUACCGCCCAAGAGUUCAUAUCGACGGCGGUGUUUGGCACCUCGAUGUCGGCUCAUCACAUCCUGGGGCUGAAGUAGGUCCCAAGGGUAUGGCUGUUCGCCAUUUAAAGUGGUACGCGAGCUGGGUUUAGAACGUCGUGAGACAGUUCGGUCCCUAUCUGCCGUGGGCGCUGGAGAACUGAGGGGGGCUGCUCCUAGUACGAGAGGACCGGAGUGGACGCAUCACUGGUGUUCGGGUUGUCAUGCCAAUGGCACUGCCCGGUAGCUAAAUGCGGAAGAGAUAAGUGCUGAAAGCAUCUAAGCACGAAACUUGCCCCGAGAUGAGUUCUCCCUGACCCUUUAAGGGUCCUGAAGGAACGUUGAAGACGACGACGUUGAUAGGCCGGGUGUGUAAGCGCAGCGAUGCGUUGAGCUAACCGGUACUAAUGAACCGUGAGGCUUAACCUUACAACGCCGAAG
This 2926-nucleotide ribosomal RNA is filed under the name Escherichia coli. RNAcentral's name for it is "23S ribosomal RNA". It matches the Rfam family "Bacterial large subunit ribosomal RNA". The record is from RNAcentral. Lineage: Bacteria; Pseudomonadati; Pseudomonadota; Gammaproteobacteria; Enterobacterales; Enterobacteriaceae.